AUGAGAUUUGGGAGGGGCAGGGGUGGAAUGAUAUGGUUUGGCUGUGUCCCCACCCAAAUCUCAACUUGAAUUGUAUUUCCCAAAAUUCCCACGUGUUGUGGGAAGGACCCAGCGGGAGGUAACUGAAUCAGUGAGGCUGGUCUUCCCCAUGCUAUUCUCGUGAUAGCGAAUACGUUUCAUGAGAUCUGAUGGGUUUAUCAGGGGUUUCUGCUUUUGCUUCCUCCUUAUUCUCUGUUGCCACUGCCAAGUCAGAAGUGCCUUUUGCCCUCCACUAUGAUUGUGAGACCUUCCCCAGCUACAUGGACGAUUCUGAAAAGUUCCAAAACAAGCAUAUCCAUUCACCCAACCAGCCACUUAUCCAAACCCACAUCUACAUCAUCUCCUGACUCACCCACCGACACUCAACAAUUAUUUGUUGAAAACUUAUCAUGUAUCAGGAAUACUGCUAUGGUGCUAGAUAUCUAGGGUAGAGAAAAGAAUCAGAUCCUACUCUAGGGUGACCAAUUGUCUUGGGUUGCCCAGGACUGGGGAAUGGGUAGUGAGGAGAGGUUCCUGGGAUAUGACGCUUUUAUGCUAAAGCCAGGAAAGCGCUAGGCAAACCAGAAUGAAUUGGCCACUCUAUCCUUCUCUGAAAGCACUUAUGAUCAAACAAAAAUAGACAAUGUUUAUUCAUCACUAACUCCAGUAUACAAAAGAAUACCUAGCACUUAAUGAGGAUGAAAUAUCUGUUGACUGACCAACCACAUGAAUAACUGAGAAAAGUGCUGUAGGAAAGGAUGCUUUGGGAAGGCAAACUUAGUCAUUCAAUGAAUACUUAUCAAAGGCCUACUAUGUGACAGACACAGUGCUAAUCCCAAGAGAUACAAUGAUGAAUAAAACCAGGCAUGUUCUCUGACCUUAAGGGACUUACAGUAUCAUAAGAAAGAUAGACAUUUAAAUCAUCUCAACAAGGACAAUGGACAUCAUGGAAUCACACAGCAGGAGAACCUCGCCUAGUCUACCGAUCAGAUACUCCAUGCAGUUGUCACCUCCUCUAUGAAGCCUCUCCUGCCCCUUCCAAGUAGAACUGUCCAUUCCAUCUGUGGCAGAGUCUGGCUACAUGUUCAUCAAACCCUGUUUCAAAUAUCCUCCUCUGCAUGUCAUUACACUGUAUCUCCCAGCCCCCUUGCAUCUACAUGAGGCCGCAUGACCACAUGCUGGGUCACUUCUGGGCCAAAAUGGUAUUGGAGAGUCCAUCUUCUCCACUCUGGCUCUCUUUCCAUGCACCAGAUAGGUGAUUUUUAGUGAUCUUUAGUGGAAGAUGAAACAGGUCUGUAUCUCUAAAUGACUUUGUGGAGUGGAGCUUCCCUUCCCAAGCUGACCCACAAUAAACUCUGAUGUGAGCAAGAAAUACAU
RNAcentral lists this long non-coding RNA (1395 nucleotides) under Homo sapiens (human). Its description in RNAcentral is "HSALNT0283363". Lineage: Eukaryota; Metazoa; Chordata; Mammalia; Primates; Hominidae. The record is from RNAcentral.